This 252-nucleotide ribosomal RNA is filed under the name uncultured bacterium. Its description in RNAcentral is "partial 16S ribosomal RNA". It matches the Rfam family "Bacterial small subunit ribosomal RNA", at positions 525 to 776 of the family's 1533-position model. The record is from RNAcentral.
ACGGAGGAUGCAAGCGUUAUCCGGAUUCAUUGGGUUUAAAGGGUGCGCAGGUGGGCUUGUAAGUCAGUGGUGAAAUACUGCCGCUUAACGGUAGAACUGCCAUUGAUACUGCAAGUCUUGAAUAUGGUUGAGGUAGGCGGAAUGUGUUGUGUAGCGGUGAAAUGCAUAGAUAUGACACAGAACGCCGAUUGCGAAGGCAGCUUACUAAGCCAUUAUUGACGCUGAGGCACGAAAGCGUGGGGAGCGAACAGG